GUUAAAUACGGACUCCAACUUCAGUGACGACGGUACUGACUGUAGCGGACGCCUGAAUUCGCCCUUGGAUCCGACUUUGAUUCUGGCUCAGGACGGAACGCUGGCGGCGCGCCUAACACAUGCAAGUCGAACGGAGCUUAGAGAGCUUGCUUUUUAAGCUUAGUGGCCGAACGGGUGAGUAACGCGUGAGUAACCUGCCCUAGAGUGGGGGACAACAGUUGGAAACGACUGCUAAUACCGCAUAAGCCCACGGUACCGCAUGGCACUGAGGGAAAAGGAUUUAUUCGCUUUGGGAUGGACUCGCGUCCAAUUAGCUAGUUGGUGAGGUAACGGCCCACCAAGGCGACGAUUGGUAGCCGGACUGAGAGGUUGAACGGCCACAUUGGGACUGAGACACGGCCCAGACUCCUACGGGAGGCAGCAGUGGGGGAUAUUGCACAAUGGGGGAAACCCUGAUGCAGCGACGCCGCGUGGAGGAAGAAGGUUUUCGGAUUGUAAACUCCUGUCGUUAGGGACGAUAAUGACGGUACCUAACAAGAAAGCACCGGCUAACUACGUGCCAGCAGCCGCGGUAAAACGUAGGGUGCAAGCGUUGUCCGGAAUUACUGGGUGUAAAGGGAGCGCAGGCGGGAAGACAAGUUGGAAGUGAAAACCAUGGGCUCAACCCAUGAAUUGCUUUCAAAACUGUUUUUCUUGAGUAGUGCAGAGGUAGAUGGAAUUCCCGGUGUAGCGGUGGAAUGCGUAGAUAUCGGGAGGAACACCAGUGGCGAAGGCGGUCUACUGGGCACCAACUGACGCUGAGGCUCGAAAGCAUGGGUAGCAAACAGGAUUAGAUACCCUGGUAGUCCAUGCCGUAACGAUGAUUACUAGGUUGUUUGGGGGAUUGACCCCCCUCAGUG
This 899-nucleotide ribosomal RNA is filed under the name uncultured bacterium. RNAcentral's name for it is "bacterial SSU rRNA". It matches the Rfam family "Bacterial small subunit ribosomal RNA", at positions 1 to 845 of the family's 1533-position model. The record is from RNAcentral.